RNAcentral lists this unclassified non-coding RNA (2384 nucleotides) under Hevea brasiliensis (rubber tree). The record is from RNAcentral. Lineage: Eukaryota; Viridiplantae; Streptophyta; Magnoliopsida; Malpighiales; Euphorbiaceae.
GCAAUGCCCAGAGGUCAUAUUUGGUUCACUUGAAAAGCAAGAAUUGAAUACAAUUCGUGAAAGGGGAUUGCUUUUUCUAGUUUUAUACAGAAGAACUUCAUUUUUUUUUAAUAUAUUUGAAUAACUUGAAUUUAGGGAAAGAUGAGCAGAACAUAGAGAAGGCUCAAAUGCCCAAACUAUACAAUUAAUACAAUGAAAAUAGCAGUUGCACCCACAAAGUCCCCAGAAAAUGUUUCCAAUUCUAACUGUUUCAUGCCCCAACACACAUAAGUUAAAUAAUGCUAGCAUCUUCAUGAAACCAUUGUCAGAUUGAUAAAAUUGGACUGAGCCUAGCCACGGGGAAACAAACUAGGGAAUGAGCUCUGGGAAGGGUUAGCCCUGGUCCCUCUUCCAUGUCAACAGUACCAUUAAUGUCUCCAUCACCAACUUUCAGUUCAAAGCACUGAAUAAUAGCAGCAAGAGUUGUUGGAACAAAUUGCAGUGCAAGAGAAGCACCAGGGCAGCUUCUUCUUCCUGUACCAAAUGGCAAUAGAUGAAAAUACUGUCCCCUCACAUCCAGCAUGUUACUCUUUCCACUCCACUCUUCACUAGUAAACCUCUCUGGCCUAAAUUCAAGUGGGUUUUCCCAGUAGUUUGGAUCCCUGCCAAGUGACCAGACAUUAACAAACAGUCUGGUCUUUGCUGGAAUUGUAUAGCCAGCAAUCAUACAAUCUUCAGAUGAUUCUCUCACGAUUAAUGGGCCAGUAGGGUGAAGUCUUAAUACUUCUUUCACUAUAGCUUGGAGAUAGGGAAGGUUAGCUAUGUCUGAUUCCUGUACUAGUCUGGUCUUUCCCACAACAGAGUCAAUCUCCAGUCUUGCUUUCUCCAUCACAUGGGGGUGGUUGAUCAGCUCUGCUAGUCCCCAUUCUACUGUAAUAGAAGAUGUGUCGGUUCCAGCACCAAAUAUGUUCUGUAAAAUUGAAGAUUUUGAAAAAUUAUGUCAUUUUCAAAUCCAGUUCUGUGUUAUAUACAAUUAAUAUAUAGAUUUUGCAGGUUGAUUAAUUGAUGGGGUAUAGAAUUAGUUUGUAUUUAAAUUUUUGAUGCAAUAACUAGUUUUGUUGGUCAGGAUGCUUUUCCGAGAACAGUUACUUACCAUUAUGAAUGCCUUAAUGUUUUCUCUGGUUAAUCUCCUCUCUGCAUUUUCAUCUUCAUAUAUAUCAAGUAAAAGAUCGAGCAAGUCCUUCAUCGUAUCACCUCCAUCACCCACUUCCUCAUUUUUCCUCGCAUCUUCAUGCUUCUUCAUGAUCCUUUCCAUCAUAUUGUCAUACCUGUCUCGAGCAUCCUUCAGCCUUUUCUCAAAACCCUGCAAAUCCAAGUUCUUGCAGAACCAAAUCGAAUCUGACAAAUUGAACUUUGCACCUAACUCAUUCAGCUCUUUCACCAGCUUUCUUACCUCACCAGCUUCAUCUUCUUUAUCAGAACACCUUGUUCUGAGUACCAUUCUUGAUAUUAUGUUAUUUGUCAAUCUCAUUAACUCUCCUCCAAUAUUCACAGCUUCUUUUGCUUCAGCUUUCUUCAGUACUACCUUCAAAAACCGCUUUGUCUCUUCCUGUCUAAUCGGGAGGAACUGAUCUAGCGUUCGACUGCCUAACAAUUCAGUCAUGCAUAGUUUCUUCAUGAACUUCCAGUGGGGUCCAUAAGGUAUGGUAGCAAAAUCUGCUGAGCCAUAGGUAAGAUAAUCAAGGUUAGCUACUUUUGGCCGGUUCAUGAAAUUUGAUUCAUUGUUUUUAAGUAUUUCUUUUGCCAUUUCAGGUGUGGAAGCAAGAACACAAGGCUUUGAGCCAAUGAAGAAGUAAACUAAAGGUCCAUAACGGAUUGAGAGUUUGUGAAAAGCUUGGUGAGGAAUAGGACCUAGGAGGUGCAUAUGUCCUAUAAUCGGCAGGGCUCUAGGGCUUGGUGGAAGGCGAUAUUUGUUCCGAGCUUUGUCAAAGAUGAUCAGGAGAAUGAAGAAGGAAGCUAGGAAGAUAAGGAUUUGUAUGGCAUAAUCUUGCAUAUCAGCCAUAGUUGAAAUGCUUGCAUAAUAGAAUAGCUCCAUAGAGGUGCUUAAAUAAGAAUUAACAUAUAUUUAUCUUUUUCUUUAUUGUGAUCAUAAAUUUGGCAGGAUGAUGAAGAGAGAUCAGGUCAGCAAAUACUCCACAAGUGAUUAAUGCUUAUUUAUUUAUUAGCAUAGAUCAGACACCCACAAGAUCAAAUUUUUAAAGACAGCCUUAAUUUAGAGACAAAUUAUUAGUUAGUUUCAGGACCACUCUCGUAGGGGUUAUCCAUCAAGCAAAGCAUAAGCAAGUUUGUCCUGUAUAAUCCAUUCAAUAUAAUACUUAGGUUUUGUUUAUAUUUUUCUUGCUUAA